This 338-nucleotide ribosomal RNA is filed under the name uncultured eukaryote. Its description in RNAcentral is "partial 18S ribosomal RNA". It matches the Rfam family "Eukaryotic small subunit ribosomal RNA", at positions 1470 to 1796 of the family's 1831-position model. The record is from RNAcentral.
CCCUUAGAUGUUCUGGGCUGCACGCGCGCUACACUGAUGCGCUCAACGAGUUUUAACCUUGCCUGGAAAGGUUGGGUAAUCUUUUUAAAACGCAUCGUGAUGGGGAUAGAUUAUUGCAAUUAUUAAUCUUCAACGAGGAAUUCCUAGUAAGCGCGAGUCAUCAGCUCGCGUUGAUUACGUCCCUGCCCUUUGUACACACCGCCCGUCGCUACUACCGAUUGGAUGGUUUAGUGAGACCCUCGGAUCGGUCCCGACUCGGGGUGGGCUUCUGCCCCGGUCGUGGUUUCGCCGAGAAGACGGUCAAACUUGACUAUCUAGAGGAAGUAAAAGUCGUAACA